AUACAACUUUCAGCAACGGAUCUCUUGGCUCUCGCAUCGAUGAAGAACGCAGCGAAAUGCGAUAAGUAAUGUGAAUUGCAGAAUUCAGUGAAUCAGCGAAUCUUUGAACGCACCUUGCGCUCCUUGGUAUUCCGAGGAGCAUGCCUGUUUGAGUGUC
RNAcentral lists this ribosomal RNA (157 nucleotides) under Fibroporia vaillantii. Its description in RNAcentral is "5.8S ribosomal RNA". It matches the Rfam family "5.8S ribosomal RNA". Rfam says of the family: 5.8S ribosomal RNA (5.8S rRNA) is a component of the large subunit of the eukaryotic ribosome. The record is from RNAcentral. Lineage: Eukaryota; Fungi; Basidiomycota; Agaricomycetes; Polyporales; Fibroporiaceae.